Molecule: ribosomal RNA, 98 nt
Filed under: Mycobacterium kansasii
Lineage: Bacteria; Bacillati; Actinomycetota; Actinomycetes; Mycobacteriales; Mycobacteriaceae
Source: RNAcentral
GGCGGCCACAGCGACAGGGAAACGCCCGGUCCCAUCCCGAACCCGGAAGCUAAGCCUGUCAGCGCCGAUGAUACUGCCCUUCUCGGGUGGAAAAGUAG